GAUGAACGCUGGCGGCGUGCCUAAUACAUGCAAGUCGAGCGAACCACUUCGGUGGUGAGCGGCGAACGGGUGAGUAACACGUAGGUGAUCUGCCCAUCAGACGGGGACAACGAUUGGAAACGAUCGCUAAUACCGGAUAGGACGAAAGUUUAAAGGUGCUUCUGGCACCGCUGAUGGAUGAGCCUGCGGCGCAUUAGCUAGUUGGUAGGGUAAAGGCCUACCAAGGCGACGAUGCGUAGCCGACCUGAGAGGGUGAACGGCCACACUGGGACUGAGACACGGCCCAGACUCCUACGGGAGGCAGCAGUAGGGAAUCUUCGGCAAUGGGCGAAAGCCUGACCCGAGCAAACGCCGCGUGAAUGAUGAAGGCCUUCGGUGUAAA
Molecule: ribosomal RNA, 382 nt
Filed under: uncultured bacterium
Lineage: Bacteria
Description: bacterial SSU rRNA
Rfam family: Bacterial small subunit ribosomal RNA
Source: RNAcentral